RNAcentral lists this ribosomal RNA (773 nucleotides) under uncultured bacterium. Its description in RNAcentral is "bacterial SSU rRNA". It matches the Rfam family "Bacterial small subunit ribosomal RNA", at positions 8 to 794 of the family's 1533-position model. The record is from RNAcentral.
AGAGUUUGAUCAUGGCUCAGGACGAACGCUGGCGGCGCGCCUAACACAUGCAAGUCGAACGAGCGAGAGAGAGCUUGCUUUCUCGAGCGAGUGGCGAACGGGUGAGUAACGCGUGAGGAACCUGCCUCAAAGAGGGGGACAACAGUUGGAAACGACUGCUAAUACCGCAUAAGCCCACAGGUCGGCAUCGACCAGAGGGAAAAGGAGCAAUCCGCUUUGAGAUGGCCUCGCGUCCGAUUAGCUAGCUGGUGAGGUAAUGGCCCACCAAGGCGACGAUCGGUAGCCGGACUGAGAGGUUGAACGGCCACAUUGGGACUGAGACACGGCCCAGACUCCUACGGGAGGCAGCAGUGGGGAAUAUUGCACAAUGGGGGAAACCCUGAUGCAGCGACGCCGCGUGGAGGAAGAAGGUCUUCGGAUUGUAAACUCCUGUUGUUGAGGAAGAUAAUGACGGUACUCAACAAGGAAGUGACGGCUAACUACGUGCCAGCAGCCGCGGUAAAACGUAGGUCACAAGCGUUGUCCGGAAUUACUGGGUGUAAAGGGAGCGCAGGCGGGAAGACAAGUUGGAAGUGAAAUCUAUGGGCUCAACCCAUAAACUGCUUUCAAAACUGUUUUUCUUGAGUAGUGCAGAGGUAGGCGGAAUUCCCGGUGUAGCGGUGGAAUGCGUAGAUAUCGGGAGGAACACCAGUGGCGAAGGCGGCCUACUGGGCACCAACUGACGCUGAGGCUCGAAAGUGUGGGUAGCAAACAGGAUUAGAUACCCUGGUAGU